GAGAGAGGCAAGAAAAAGGAAAAGGGAAGAACGGAGGGGAAAAGGCUUGGAUUGGGUACCGUUGUCCGUUUCAGAAGUGAAUGGGCGCACCCCAUUUCUUCUAAUUUGUUUUGGCACAUCAUCAGCAAUAGGCAGACAUGGAGUCGAGCACAGCGAGUGAGAAAAAGAAGUUGAAACGCAGAGAGAUACUGGAGAAAAAGAAAGCAACAGACCAAAUCCUCAAAGCUGCUUCUGCCCAAAUUGACCAUCUUGCUUCUUUCCCUUCCUUCCGCUGUUUCAACAGAAAUGGCCUUUGUUUACACUUGGAAUCAGGGCAUGGAGAUAAGCUAUCCCAUUGUACGAAACAAUACAUUCAAAACCUCUUGAAGGUAAAUAUGGAGGGUCCGUAUGGAUCGGAGUGGGCAAUUGAAGAGAAGGUGAAACGGAGAGAAAUGGUUGCUCCAGAAGCACGCUAUAUAUUUGUAUGCAGAAAUGCCAAUGAUAUGAUGGACAGUGCCCCCAUUCCCCUGCUUGGUUUCCUACAUUACCGGUUCACUCUGGAGGAAGAGAUGCCUGUUCUUUAUUUAUACGAAUUGCAGCUGGAUUCCUCUGUCCAAGGGAAAGGGCUUGGAAAAUUCUUGAUGGAAUUAAUUGAGCUAAUUGCUCAGGAGAAGUGGAUGAGUGCCGUGGUGUUAACUGUUCAAAAAUCAAACUCGUCGGCCAUGAAGUUCUAUAGAAGCAAACUAAGAUAUGUGGUAUCGAGUAUUUCGCCAUCUAGAGUCAAUCCAUUCGCUGGAGUAGAAAAGAAAUAUGAAAUUCUUUGCAAAACAUUUGAUCAUGAAGCUAAAGCUGUAUUGGAGGUAUAUUCAAUUUAGCAUAUUGGUGCGAUUAUCAUCCUCGUAAAUUUGUCCACAUGCAUUGGUAAUGUCUGAAGGUGAAAAAGCAGACGCCAUGUCAAAAUUGCUUCCAAUACCAUUUGACCACUCUAAAAGUGUUGGAUUGAACUGUUGAUGCAGGCUUGGUAGGAGGGUAGGGUUUAUGGCUGCUUUUCGGAUUUGAAUUUUGAAGAGUAACAGGGAAAAUUGAAUGAGAAGAAACAAAUUGUCGGGUUGCAUCUCAUAGGGAGUAAGGGCGAUUAAUGUACUCCAUUAAUAACAUCAAGAUUCGAACUAAUGAUCUUACUUAAAGAAUUUUAGAGUAAAAUUUUUAAUAUUAUUAGCUGC
Molecule: RNA transcript, 1202 nt
Organism: Hibiscus syriacus
Lineage: Eukaryota; Viridiplantae; Streptophyta; Magnoliopsida; Malvales; Malvaceae
Gene name: N-alpha-acetyltransferase 40-like
Exons: 9
Source: RefSeq, a predicted model, not a curated record